Podarcis lilfordi (Lilford's wall lizard) is the source of this 2033-nucleotide non-coding RNA. The record is from the annotation of a GenBank genome assembly. NCBI's taxonomy places the organism in Eukaryota, Metazoa, Chordata, Lepidosauria, Squamata, Lacertidae.
UUUGGUUCUCCUUUCCUGUUCUCUGGUUUCCAUCAAAACAAGCCUUUUCUGGUCUUGUCUUUUCUUCCCUCACUUUAGGGUGCUGCCUGGCUGGAUAUUACGUCACCAGUGUUUCCUGAGUGCUUCUCUCAAUGUUCCCUGAGGAUCUGCAGUGCUUCUCUCCGUGUAUUUGACAAGCUGAGUUCGACACUCAAUGUGGCAGAGUGUCAGUUUGUCAAAUAUGCAAAGUGCGGCAUUUGCCCAGCAACGUUGAGCAUCCAGCAAGUCAUCACAGGACCUCUCCGCAGAGCAGGAGUCAUUGCUGGCAAAGAGGGAUGCGGGGAGCUCUAUGAAUGGCAGAGUUUGGUAUUGUUAUGAGUUUGUGGGGUGUGAGAUACCUAAGCUAUUAGAUCAAAUAAAAGUUAGAAUUAAUCAAGGUUUAGGGAGUUAAACUGUGCCAAACAUUGAAGCCCUGGAUGCAGUUUAUGUUAACAUGUAUCCCAAUAUGAUGUUAGGUGGUUUGUUCAAAUGUUUCCAGAUGUUUCUAGCUGACUUUGUGGGGGGCAUUGCUAAGGUUUUCUGGAUGUUUUUAUAAAUGGACCAUGGCCAUGUUUAAAUGUUGCUUCUUUUACAUUGCACUAGUUGUGCGGAGUGGAAUUGGAUCACAAUAUUCUACUUCAUGCAUUUAUGCUUUGAAGAAAAUGGGAAGGUCCACACCAUGUUUGCAGGUACGUCAUAAAUAGGAAGCUCAGGCUAUACUGUGUGCACCUAAGCACACAAACACACAGGCAGAGCCCUCUGUAUUUUCUGUAGCCAGCAGCUGUGACAGCAAAGCAUGGUCUCCAUCAAGGCCAAUGCCAGCAUUCCAAGAUCUGGUGCCCACCAGAAAUUCUUGUGCUGUCAAUCCCAUCAGCCCCAGCAAGCAUGACCAGUUGUCAGAGAUGAUGGGAGGAGCUGUAGACCAAAACAUCUGAGGAGCACCAGGUUGGGAAAGGGUGGUCAGAGUGGUAAAGGUCUGUUGUGUGAACUGCUCCAUUUCCGUUGGUUCAGCAGACUGAAACAGCAUCAGUACAGUGGUGAUAGUUAUUGCUGUAAUGAUAUUCUGAAAUGUUUGCAUGCACUUAAAGAUGCUUCAAAGUGUAUUCCAUGUGGCAAUGGAUUUAUUGUGUGACGAUGUUGCAGUUAAUGUUGACACUACUGACUGAAUGCACAAAGGUGGGGGGAACUGGAUUGUGUCCAUUGCCCUCUCCUCCACAUCUCUAUUUACCAUAAUAUCCAAAAGAAAUGGCUUGGGAUCCAAAUACUAUUAAGAGCAUUCUGCUCUUAAGACAUUCUGCUAUGGCCCAGUUCUGAGGGUCUCUCUUCUUGGGAGGAGAUGGCUUUCUUGCUAAGGGGGGCCAUGUGGAAUUGCAUAACUAAGGGGGUAUGGUUAGUUCCUCCUUUGCAAUCUCUUUGGACCUGGUUAGUACGUUUCUAUUUAUUCAAGCAUUUUAAAUUUGUACAAUUCCUCAGGCUGCCUAAUAACUUUAAUUUGCUGUCAUUUAUUAUGGUUGAAUAAUGUUAGAGUUUUAUUGUGUAGUAUUAGGUUUUAACUAAUUUAUACUGUUAAAGAUUUUGGGGGACCCCACUAAACCCUAGAAAUUAAUAAAUGGUGGCAGAUUAUUUAAAGGGAAGAUUGCAGGCCAGUGGAAAAGGCCAGGCCAGGCUUCCUUUCCAAGACAGGGCGUCACAUGACACAAAGUGUUGAUGGCCCAUCAAAGAGGAAAUUUGGGCAGACAGAGGUUGCCAUGGUGAUGGGGUGUGUAUUUGAAGUGACAGGAAAGGGGAGUCUUUAGGGCAAGGUGUGCUGGGAAGAAGAAGGGGAAGAACAACGAGGGAGAUCCACCUUGGGCAGGUUGGCUGAAGGCUGGCUGGGAAAGAUGUAUUUGACUCCAGGGCUGCACUGCUAUCAGGAACAAGCUAUGUUUGAGAUGACUGUGCUGUAAGAUCUGGACCCUGCCCACUCAGACUGAAGUUGUAAAUAGGUGAAUAAACCAUAUUUCUUAAAGCUACAA